This 386-nucleotide ribosomal RNA is filed under the name uncultured eukaryote. Its description in RNAcentral is "partial 18S ribosomal RNA". It matches the Rfam family "Eukaryotic small subunit ribosomal RNA", at positions 592 to 976 of the family's 1831-position model. The record is from RNAcentral.
CAAUAGCGUAUAUUAAAGUUGUUGCAGUUAAAAAGCUCGUAGUUGGAUUUCUGGUCGGAGCGACCGGUCGGCGUCCUUUGUGGCGUGUGCACUGUUGUCGGCUCCGUCCAUCCUAGUGGGAAGGCGUGUUGGCAUUCAUUUGUCGGCGCGUGGCCCCGCUACGUUUACUGUGAAAAAAUUAGAGUGUUUAAAGCAGGCGUUCGCUGUGAAUACAUUAGCAUGGAAUAAUGAGAUAGGACUUUGGUACUAUUUUGUUGGUUUGCGCACCAAGGUAAUGAUUAAUAGGGAUAGUUGGGGGUAUUCAUAUUCAAUUGUCAGAGGUGAAAUUCUUGGAUUUAUGGAAGAUGAACUUAUGCGAAANCANNNACCAAGGAUGUUUUCAUNAA